UCAUAAAUAGAUAGACGGCCCAUUUAAGGGCUCCAUAGAUCAACCAAAUUCGCUGCAGUGGGUUUACCCGGAUCCGACUCCAAUCUUCCAAGUCCUUAAACCCCUCAAAUUCAUGCAUAAAAAGACCUUUAUCUUUCAUGGCGUUUCUGAAAUUAGUUUUUAAAAUGGCAGUUUCUUAUCCACAAUUUUCGAGUGUAUCUGCACAACCUUAGUUCCUGCUAUGAUGUCUCACUUACUUGAUUCUCCGGCCGCCAAUGGCUUUCAGGUUUUAAGACAGUUGACCAAGUCUAAUAUGUGCAUUUUGAGCACCAAAUCAUACGGGACACGUCCAAUUGCAAGACCUAGAAUAGCCUGCAAUAUGAACGUAGUAGCUGGACAAUCUGAUGAACCUCACAAAUUUAACUUGGAGAACAUAAUAGACCGGACAAGGAAAUUGUGGGACAGCUAGCACUCUGCUAAAGUUGCCGGGACCGUAUUAUCCAUAUUGGGGUCGAGUUUUUAUUCCACAUUUUGCAAAUCGGGCAUUGUUUAGAACUCUGUGGUUUGCUUUCCUCUGUUACAGAAGGCCUAAGAAGUCAUUAGAAAAGGCCCUGCCUGAUUUAAUAGUUGCUAAUCCUGAACAGAAGGAGCUCUAACUUUUUGGCGACGAAGUAUUUGAACUGGGGCAAAUCACUAUUUUUGGCAAAUUGUACCACAGCAGUCAAUUGGUCUGGCUAUUGGAUCAACCAAGUUUGAAGUUCUUAGAUCUUCACUUGUAAUGCUCAACCUUGUGACUUCCUUCAGUUCUGGGAAUACAAAUCCUUUUUUGCUGAACAGUGUAUCGAUCAGGUUCUCCAAGGCUAGGCCUGAGGUGUCAAUCGAAAUCCAUCCCAAGGUGAAUACGAAGCCCUAUUAGAACACGUAGCAGCUCUUUCGUCUCCACAAUUCUUCUGCAUAUCAAAGUUGAAUGGAUCGUUGCCACUGCCACAACAUGCCUUCAUCAAAGUCUUCAUCUUGAAUCCCAGGAAUGCGUGGUAUUUAAGAACAGCCAUGAAUGCUUUGUAGUAAUCCACAUAUAUGAUGUGAACUUCAGGGUAUUUCAAACGCAGCUCCAUAAUUGCUUGCCACAGGUGAUCGUUGUGAAGCUUCGAAAACAUAUUAAGUCCUUGGUGGCAUCUAUGUUUUGCCAGUUGAAUUGCCCUCGGGAAAUAAAGUCCUAAAACCAGGAAAGCAGCCAAUGGGUAGAAUUCUAGAAACCAUGAGAGUUUUGGCUCCAGCUUCGUUGAUGAGUCUUUCUAUUGAAUUCUUAAUUGUCUCCACCACUUCAGGCACGAGAUGGGACGAUUUUGAAAUAGAUUUCCAAGUAAGAAGGCAUGCUUGUAGUCAUUGAUGCCGGGUUGAUCCAUAAAGAUGAGCGUCUUCUGAAGAACCUUAUUGUUUCUGCCGCAGUCUUGAAAAGAGAAGCAGUCUUCAUAGAAGAACUUCAUGAAGGUAGAAAUCUUAGAUAGGUCAUGGUGACUGUGGAGGUGGUGGGAUGCCAUUCUUGAGGAAGAACAAAGGCUUCAUGAUGGUUGCUCCGGGCGUCGCAAAACUCAGGUCAGACUCGAAGAACUCAGUGCCUCGUUGAGUGUAUGGUUGCGGAGAAGCAAACUGAGGGUUACAACAACAUGAUUAGCAGCUGACGAUGAAGAAGAGUCGCCAUCACCGAAACUGUAUAUGGAAUUAAAGGGACCAACAGUUUCUUUCGUCUCGGUGAAAGACGGAACUACAUGAUCAACAAGACAAGUAAAUAGUAAUACCAAGAGAAACAAACGAUGGCUGCUUCCCGUUGAAGCAAAGCAAGAAAGAGCAAAUUGAUAAACACACUAUGGUUUGCAAAAUUGUAAGCCGGUGGAUACAAUAUUUACAGAGGUGCAAUAUAAAUUGUUUCCAAGUAGGAUUAGGAGAAUAGCUAUCGUUUUACUUUGAGGAAAGUAUCGAAUUAGUCACGUAGCUGUAUUUCUUUUUC
Nicotiana attenuata is the source of this 1987-nucleotide long non-coding RNA. RefSeq lists it as uncharacterized. The record is from RefSeq and is a predicted model, not a curated record. The transcript has 4 exons. Lineage: Eukaryota; Viridiplantae; Streptophyta; Magnoliopsida; Solanales; Solanaceae.